CCUACGGGAGGCAGCAGUAAGGAAUAUUGGACAAUGCUCGCAAGAGUGAUCCAGCCAUGCCGCGUGCAGGAAGACGGCCCUAUGGGUUGUAAACUGCUUUUGAACUAGAGAAAACCCUCCUACGUGUAGGAGGCUGAUAGUAUAGUUAGAAUAAGCAUCGGCUAACUUCGUGCCAGCAGCCGCGGUAAGACGAAGGAUGCAAGCGUUAUCCGGAUUCAUUGGGUUUAAAGGGAGCGUAGGUGGACUGAUAAGUCAGUGGUGAAAUCUCUCGGCUUAACCGAGAAAUUGCCAUUGAUACUGUUGGUCUUGAGUACAGUUGCUGUGGGCGGAAUAUGACAUGUAGUGGUGAAAUACAUAGAGAUGUCAUAGAACACCGAUUGCGAAGGCAGCUCACAAAGCUGUAACUGACACUGAGGCUCGAAAGUGCGGGGAUCAAACAGGAUUAGAUACCCUGGUAGUCCGCACCGUAACGAUGAUUACUCGCUGCUGGGAGGUAACUUUCAGUGGCUUAGCGAAGCGAUAAGUAAUCCACCUGGGAGUACGCCGGCAACGGUGAACGUCAAAGUAGUUAGUUAGCGGNGNGAGAGCGACGGACGACGACGACGGAGGGAGGAG
This 615-nucleotide ribosomal RNA is filed under the name uncultured bacterium. Its description in RNAcentral is "bacterial SSU rRNA". It matches the Rfam family "Bacterial small subunit ribosomal RNA", at positions 338 to 958 of the family's 1533-position model. The record is from RNAcentral.